ACGUGAUUUAUGUCAACUGCAUGUCUCGUGAUUUUUGGAGACCUUCCCAAAUAAUAACGGUAACUUCAUUUUAAAGGAACUUCAUCAUUAUGGGUUCUGAUUGCAGAGCGACUAUGACUAUAUAAUGCUGUAUGGAAUCCUCUUCCAUCUAGAAGGAGAGAGCCAGAGUAACAGGUGUGCAGACAUUGUAGCUGACCACCUUCUUGAUGGAGACUCUGUGGAUUGGACUUAGGGAAGGCGAGAACAGUGAUAUAAGGAGCCCUCUUGUGCACCACUUCAAAUCCUUUUAGCUCUUACUCCAGCCACUGCUUUGGUAACCAGCUUUGCACAGACGUCAACCAGUUCUUUGCCUGUACAACAUGACAGUGCCUUGUCUUGGGCCCAGUGCUACAUAUGUCUUAGUCUGUCCUUGAUGCUGUUGGCACGUACACAGGUGUAACCCAAAAUACAGGGAGGUUUAAGGUUUGUGGGGUAUUCUUACAGUCUAAGGCUCAGAUCAAUGGAGGAUGCAAGCCAAAGGAUAAAUCGUUCCUCUUUCAUCCCCCAAGCACACAGCUCUGAGAUGCAUGCAUGAGACUUACUAGAAAGUCCUCUAGUUUGAGCACCCGUCGCAGAUAGCCUGGCCAACUCACGAACACAGCCAUCCUUCCCUGUUUCAUUUCCUUGUUCUUCACUCUUGCUCCCAGAGACACAUUCCCAAAUAAACUGCCCACGUGAAAGCCUUUGUCUCAGUCUCUGUUUUGGAGGAAACUAAGAUAAGAUGCAUGGCCACACCUAAUAACUGCAGAAGAGGCUGGAGAAAUCACAUCACAGGGCAGCUAUAUGUCCAGUUUCCAUUACUACGGAAGACGAGGGAGCAGAUUUGGUGGCCAGCUAGCAGUCUCCACUCCAGCAGGAAAGUGCUGAAACAUUUGACAGACGCCCCAGCCAAAGAGUUAAAAAUAAUAGAAGUUUUGAUGCUUAAAAGGAUAAGUAGUACAACUACCAUUGUCCAAAGAGAAGAGGACAUUUCCUUGGCUGUGACCAGCAGAGUGGAGAGAGAAGAGGAGAAUGCCAAGGGUCAGAUGGCUGGAAUGUGACCACACUUAGCUACCAGGAAGGAAAGGAUGAGCCAUUAAAGGAGAAAAAC
Molecule: long non-coding RNA, 1129 nt
Filed under: Equus caballus (horse)
Lineage: Eukaryota; Metazoa; Chordata; Mammalia; Perissodactyla; Equidae
Description: lncRNA (ENSECAG00000057820.1)
Source: RNAcentral